This 594-nucleotide ribosomal RNA is filed under the name uncultured Pseudeurotium. RNAcentral describes it as "eukaryotic LSU rRNA". The stretch from base 231 to 384 matches the Rfam family "5.8S ribosomal RNA". The record is from RNAcentral. Lineage: Eukaryota; Fungi; Ascomycota; Leotiomycetes; Thelebolales; Pseudeurotiaceae.
CUUGGUCAUUUAGAGGAAGUAAAAGUCGUAACAAGGUUUCCGUAGGUGAACCUGCGGAAGGAUCAUUAAAGAGACGUUGCCCUCCGGGGUAUACCUCCCACCCUUUGUUUAUUAUACCUUUGUUGCUUUGGCGGGCCCGUCCUCGGAUCACCGGCUCCGGCUGGUCAGCGCCCGCCAGGGGACCUAAAACUCUGUUUGUUCAUAUUGUCUGAGCACUAUAUAAUAGUUAAAACUUUCAACAACGGAUCUCUUGGUUCUGGCAUCGAUGAAGAACGCAGCGAAAUGCGAUAAGUAAUGUGAAUUGCAGAAUUCAGUGAAUCAUCGAAUCUUUGAACGCACAUUGCGCCCCCUGGUAUUCCGGGGGGCAUGCCUGUUCGAGCGUCAUUACAACCCUCAAGCUCUGCUUGGUAUUGGGCUCUGCCGGUCCCGGCAGGCCCUAAAAUCAGUGGCGGUGCCAUCCGGCUUCAAGCGUAGUAAUUCUUCUCGCUUUGGAGGCCCGGGUGCGUGCUUGCCAGCAACCCCCAAUUUUUUUCAGGUUGACCUCGGAUCAGGUAGGGAUACCCGCUGAACUUAAGCAUAUCAAUAAGCGGAGGA